This 372-nucleotide ribosomal RNA is filed under the name Triticum aestivum (bread wheat). RNAcentral describes it as "partial small subunit ribosomal RNA". The record is from RNAcentral. Lineage: Eukaryota; Viridiplantae; Streptophyta; Magnoliopsida; Poales; Poaceae.
UAUAGACAUUUGAUAGAAAAUGGGAUCAAGUACCCACAUUUGUAUAUGUGGAAGAUUAAGAUGCCACCUAGAGUGAAAGUCUUUAUGUGGCCGACUCUUAGGAACUGCAUUCUUACUAAAGAUAAUUUGUUCCGUCGGGGGUGGAGAGGAGAUGAGAAAUGCCCAUUCUAUGGACGUGAGGAAAAUAUAAAUCAUGUGUUCAUAUCUUGUUCGGUAACUAGGUUGUUGUGGAAUAUUCUUAAAUGUGCUUUCAAUUUAACUGAUAUACCAGACGACUUAGAUCUGGUGAUGAGAAUUUGGGCUAAGACUUUUGGAAAGGAAGAGAGGGGCUUAGUUUUGAUAGGAAUUUCGGCUAUAUGUUGGACUAUUUGA